AUACAUGCAAGUCGAGCGGACAGAUGGGAGCUUGCUCCCUGAUGUUAGCGGCGGACGGGUGAGUAACACGUGGGUAACCUGCCUGUAAGACUGGGAUAACUCCGGGAAACCGGGGCUAAUACCGGAUGCUUGUUUGAACCGCAUGGUUCAAACAUAAAAGGUGGCUUCGGCUACCACUUACAGAUGGACCCGCGGCGCAUUAGCUAGUUGGUGAGGUAAUGGCUCACCAAGGCGACGAUGCGUAGCCGACCUGAGAGGGUGAUCGGCCACACUGGGACUGAGACACGGCCCAGACUCCUACGGGAGGCAGCAGUAGGGAAUCUUCCGCAAUGGACGAAAGUCUGACGGAGCAACGCCGCGUGAGUGAUGAAGGUUUUCGGAUCGUAAAGCUCUGUUGUUAGGGAAGAACAAGUACCGUUCGAAUAGGGCGGUACCUUGACGGUACCUAACCAGAAAGCCACGGCUAACUACGU
RNAcentral lists this ribosomal RNA (473 nucleotides) under Bacillus sp. (in: firmicutes). RNAcentral's name for it is "bacterial SSU rRNA". It matches the Rfam family "Bacterial small subunit ribosomal RNA", at positions 51 to 506 of the family's 1533-position model. Lineage: Bacteria; Bacillati; Bacillota; Bacilli; Caryophanales; Bacillaceae. The record is from RNAcentral.